Molecule: ribosomal RNA, 469 nt
Filed under: uncultured bacterium
Lineage: Bacteria
Description: partial 16S ribosomal RNA
Rfam family: Bacterial small subunit ribosomal RNA
Source: RNAcentral
GACGAACGCUGGCGGCGUGCUUAACACAUGCAAGUCGAACGGAAAGGCCCUGCUUGCAGGGUGCUCGAGUGGCGAACGGGUGAGUAACACGUGGGUGAUCUGCCCCUUACUUUGGGAUAAGCCUGGGAAACUGGGUCUAAUACUGGAUAGGACCAUGCUGUAGGUGGUGUGGUGGAAAGAUUAGUUUCGGUAAGGGAUGAGCUCGCGGCCUAUCAGCUUGUUGGUGGGGUAAUGGCCUACCAAGGCGUCGACGGGUAGCCGGCCUGAGAGGGUGGACGGCCACAUUGGGACUGAGAUACGGCCCAGACUCCUACGGGAGGUAGCAGUGGGGAAUAUUGCACAAUGGGCGCAAGCCUGAUGCAGCGACGCCGCGUGGGGGAUGACGGCCUUCGGGUUGUAAACUCCUUUCAGCCAUGACGAAGCCCUUGUGGUGACGGUAGUGGUAGAAGAAGCACCGGCUAACUACGUG